Molecule: unclassified non-coding RNA, 204 nt
Filed under: Hevea brasiliensis (rubber tree)
Lineage: Eukaryota; Viridiplantae; Streptophyta; Magnoliopsida; Malpighiales; Euphorbiaceae
Source: RNAcentral
GGUACAGACUUUUGCCCUUUUCUUCAUCGUUUAUAGAACAAAUUGGAGCAAAGAGGCUUCUGUUGCAGAAGAUAGGAUAAGGAAAUGGAAAGGACAGGUAGUUUCCAUAGAGAACAAUACUGAAACAAUUUUCGCCUAGAAGUGUGAAGGGAAACGCAAGAAUUGAAGAAAAAGGAAGAGUUGUCAAUGACUUUUAAGUUUCAG